AGUCUGGUUUGUAUUCAACAUUAAUGCACAAUUUGGGAUUUAUAAAUAUAUAUAUUAAAAAAUCAAAUUUAAGUAUUUAUGAAAUUAUUUUCCCUUAAAUGUAAAUUUGAAAACUGGUAUUAAACUUGUGGUAAAAUAUAAAAUUCACCCUUUAGUUUUUUAAUCAAAAUUUAAGCUAUUUAUAAAAAAAUGUUAUUCUUUAAGGGUAAAUUUGAAAAGUUGUAUCAAACUUGUGGUAAAUUUAUAUUCUCCCAUAUAACUAUGAUUAUAAUAUAUUAUAUUGUAUAUUAUUCAUAAUAAUUUUUAAUUCGCAAUCUAUAAAUGCAGAUUAUAAAAUUACUUAGAAUUUUUAUAAAAUUAAAUAUAAAAUAUUAAUUAAUAUUGUAGUUUAUUUAUUAUGUAAAUAUUUAUAUUCAUGUACAU
This 423-nucleotide long non-coding RNA is filed under the name Brassica napus (rape). RNAcentral describes it as "long non-coding RNA (BNAP_LNC001971)". The record is from RNAcentral. Lineage: Eukaryota; Viridiplantae; Streptophyta; Magnoliopsida; Brassicales; Brassicaceae.